RNAcentral lists this ribosomal RNA (261 nucleotides) under uncultured bacterium. RNAcentral's name for it is "partial 16S ribosomal RNA". It matches the Rfam family "Bacterial small subunit ribosomal RNA", at positions 793 to 1050 of the family's 1533-position model. The record is from RNAcentral.
GUCCACGCCGUAAACGAUGGAUGCUAGUUGUCAGGCAGCAUGCUGUUUGGUGACGCAGCUAACGCAUUAAGCAUCCCGCCUGGGGAGUACGGCCGCAAGGUUAAAACUCAAAGAAAUUGACGGGGGCCCGCACAAGCGGUGGAGCAUGUGGUUUAAUUCGAAGCAACGCGCAGAACCUUACCUACCCUUGACAUACCAAUCGCGGAUUACAGAGAUGUUUUCCUUCAGUUAGGCUGGAUUGGAUACAGGUGCUGCAUGGCU